UGGGGAAUUUUGGACAAUGGGCGAAAGCCUGAUCCAGCAAUGCCGCGUGUGUGAAGAAGGCCUUCGGGUUGUAAAGCACUUUUGUCCGGAAAGAAAUCCUUGGCUCUAAUACAGUCGGGGGAUGACGGUACCGGAAGAAUAAGCACCGGCUAACUACGUGCCAGCAGCCGCGGUAAUACGUAGGGUGCAAGCGUUAAUCGGAAUUACUGGGCGUAAAGCGUGCGCAGGCGGUUUGCUAAGACCGAUGUGAAAUCCCCGGGCUCAACCUGGGAACUGCAUUGGUGACUGGCAGGCUAGAGUAUGGCAGAGGGGGGUAGAAUUCCACGUGUAGCAGUGAAAUGCGUAGAGAUGUGGAGGAAUACCGAUGGCGAAGGCAGCCCCCUGGGCCAAUACUGACGCUCAUGCACGAAAAGCGUGGGGAGCAAACAGGAUUAGAUACCCUGGUAGUCCACGCCCUAAACGAUGUCAACUGGUUGUUGGGAAGGUUCCUUCUCAGUAACGUAGCUAACGCGUGAAGUUGACCGCCUGGGGAGUACGGCCGCAAGGUUGAAACUUAAAUGAAUUGACGGGGUCAU
This 575-nucleotide ribosomal RNA is filed under the name uncultured bacterium. RNAcentral's name for it is "partial 16S ribosomal RNA". It matches the Rfam family "Bacterial small subunit ribosomal RNA", at positions 355 to 922 of the family's 1533-position model. The record is from RNAcentral.